UGGGGAAUAUUGGACAAUGGGCGCAAGCCUGAUCCAGCCAUGCCGCGUGGAUGAUGAAGGCCUUAGGGUUGUAAAGUCCUUUUAACGGGGAAGAUAAUGACGGUACCCGUAGAAUAAGCCCCGGCUAACUUCGUGCCAGCAGCCGCGGUAAUACGAAGGGGGCUAGCGUUGCUCGGAAUCACUGGGCGUAAAGCGCACGUAGGCGGAUCUUUAAGUCAGGGGUGAAAUCCUGGAGCUCAACUCCAGAACUGCCUUUGAUACUGAGGGUCUCGAGUCCGGGAGAGGUGAGUGGAACUGCGAGUGUAGAGGUGAAAUUCGUAGAUAUUCGCAAGAACACCAGUGGCGAAGGCGGCUCACUGGCCCGGUACUGACGCUGAGGUGCGAAAGCGUGGGGAGCAAACAG
This 403-nucleotide ribosomal RNA is filed under the name uncultured bacterium. RNAcentral describes it as "bacterial SSU rRNA". It matches the Rfam family "Bacterial small subunit ribosomal RNA", at positions 355 to 775 of the family's 1533-position model. The record is from RNAcentral.